RNAcentral lists this long non-coding RNA (372 nucleotides) under Trifolium pratense (red clover). RNAcentral describes it as "long non-coding RNA (TPRA_LNC009866)". The record is from RNAcentral. Lineage: Eukaryota; Viridiplantae; Streptophyta; Magnoliopsida; Fabales; Fabaceae.
UACAAAAGUAUCAGCACAAACCUCUAGUCCCAAAACCUGCAAAUGUUUGUAAAAAGAAACAAAAGACUUUAAAACAUGAUAUUACGAUGUAGUUAUUAUGGUGACUAGAGAUGGUUUUGUAAGUAUAAAUUACUUUACCCUUAGGACAUAAUCUGUAAUCAAAUUUGUCUUCUGGCCUUCAGUUGCUAUAGCCUGCGACCAUUAUGAAUCAAAAAGAAGCCAUUUUCUUAUCAGUCUCAUUUCUAGUAAUUAAGUAUGGAAAAAAAACAAGAGACUUUAAAACAUGAUAUUACAGUGUAGUUAUUUUGGAAAAGAAAUAGAUUAUUCACUAAUUAAGUAUAAAAGAGCAUCUAUAUUACCUUCAUGUACACA